ACUGUUCUUCAGGGUUUUCGAGUAAACUUAUCAUGGAUGCCAGACUCUGAUUCCAUCCAGACUUCGGAUCAAAACAACGGCCAAGUAUUUCUGCACGAUUAUCAAGAAAUACAUUGAAAAGUUCACUCUCAUUAUCAAAUUUCAUUCUUUCCUGAUUUCCAAAUAGAACUAUAUCUCCCAUCCCAUAAGUGUCAUAUUCAAGGAUCUUGACAACUGAACUCAGGACACGGGCUGCCACUUCCAACACUGCAAUAUUAGUAGGGGCACAAGUAAGUGUUCUGCAUUUCAUUGUAAAUAGAGCAUAUAUCAGAAAACCAACGGUCUUUGUUUUCCCAGUUCCUGGAGGACCCCAUAUUAAUUUGACAGUAUACUGAUGAGAGCAACCCCUUCCACCGAUACAGCUCAAAACAGCAUCUUUUUGGGAGUCAUUUAAGUUAAAAGAGCGGCACAUGUCCACCAUGCGUGACCAAAAAACCCCAUUAUUUUCUCCAGAUGAGCAAGUGAUACACUUCUCAUAAUCACUGGAAUUACUUUGCAGCACUUCCUUAAUAAUGUUCACGUUCUUCCCUUCCAACUCUGAGUUUAAUGCUCUCCAUAUACGAAUAUUUGUCGUCAAGCUUAUCAAAUAAACAGCAAAAAGUGUUUGUUUCUCCUUCUUCUUCUGCAUAUCUUGUUCAAUCAUGAUGGGCUUUGACGAGAGUAUUGAGAGUGCACCAGAAUCUUCACCUUUGACUGCAUGAACAUAAGCAAUAAGGUAGGAUUGUUUGGAUCUGCACAAAUCAUCAGUGCAUUUUGGUCUCUUAUCUGUGAGGGCAAUAACAUGUCCAACCUCAGGCUCAUAUAUUCCUGGAUCAUUCUUUGACCCUCCUCUUUUGAGUGAUAUUUUGUAAAACCAGUCUCUUGGAGGUUUAUAUGCCUUGGGGGAUAUAUUAAAAGAGGAUAUUUCAGAUGUGGGUGCUCGAGAAAGUGAUUGCAUACUAGAUGCCAACUCAGCAUGAACUUCCUCAACAAGUGGGGGAAUGAAUGUCUUCAUGUAGUGUGUUGUUGAUGUGAAUGUCUCUGGGAUCUUCUUCGCCUGAGAUUUGUAAAGAUCCUUGUUGAGAACAUCCUGAAUUGACCAAGAAAGCACCAAGUCUACUAAGCCUCUGCCCAUGAUCAUCUUUCCCUUGUUGUUACUGUUGUUGUCCAUUUUUUCUUCGAUCUUUCUGGAUUGAUGUAUGUAUUACAAGAAAAGGAAGCAGAAAACCCAAAUGAUAGGAAGAAAGAAUCAAGAAAACCCGAAUGGAAGGAAGGAGAAAACCCAGAGCUACGAAAUUGUUUUCUCAAUGAAGAAACAUAAAAAAAAGAAUUUGGCCAUAUUAUUCCUGGGAAAUAUAAAGUAGAGGGGGGGAAAAAGAAAAAUGAAAAAAGCAGACGUUGACUUGUGGUCAGUGAG
This 1435-nucleotide unclassified non-coding RNA is filed under the name Hevea brasiliensis (rubber tree). The record is from RNAcentral. Lineage: Eukaryota; Viridiplantae; Streptophyta; Magnoliopsida; Malpighiales; Euphorbiaceae.